CCUACGGGUGGCAGCAGUGGGGAAUAUUGCACAAUGGGGGAAACCCUGAUGCAGCGACGCCGCGUGAGUGAAGAAGUCUUUCGGUAUGUAAAGUUCUAUUAGCAGGGAAGAAAUAGCGACCUUUGGGUCGCCAGACGGUACCUGAUUAAGAAGCCCCGGCUAACUACGUGCCAGCAGCCGCGGUAAUACGUAGGGGGCAAGCGUUAUCCGGAUUUACUGGGUGCAAAGGGGGCGUAGACGGCUGCGCAAGUCUGAAGUGAAAUGCCGGGGCUUAACCCCGGGACUGCUUUGGAAACUGUGCAUCUAGAGUGCAGGAGAGGGAAGUGGGAUUCCUAGUGGAGCGGUGAAAUGCGUAGAUAUUAGGAGGAACACCAGUGGCGAAGGCGGGUUACUGGACUGUAACUGACGUUGAGGCUCGAAAGCGUGGGGAGCAAACAGGAUUAGAUACCCGAGUAGUC
RNAcentral lists this ribosomal RNA (458 nucleotides) under uncultured bacterium. RNAcentral describes it as "partial 16S ribosomal RNA". It matches the Rfam family "Bacterial small subunit ribosomal RNA", at positions 338 to 795 of the family's 1533-position model. The record is from RNAcentral.